GACGUAGGGGGCCAGCGUUGUUCGGAAUUACUGGGUGUAAAGGGUUCGUAGGCGGUGCGGCAAGUUGGGAGUGAAAUCUCUGGGCUUAACCCAGAGGCUGCUUCCAAAACUGCUGUGCUUGAGUGUGGGAGAGGCGCGUGGAAUUGCAGGUGUAGCGGUGAAAUGCGUAGAUAUCUGCAGGAACACCCGUGGCGAAAGCGGCGCACUGGACCACUUCUGACGCUGAGGCGCGAAAGCUAGGGGAGCAAACAGG
Molecule: ribosomal RNA, 253 nt
Filed under: uncultured bacterium
Lineage: Bacteria
Description: partial 16S ribosomal RNA
Rfam family: Bacterial small subunit ribosomal RNA
Source: RNAcentral